ACAAAAUGACACCUCAUCACAAAAUGACAUUUUUUGCAAACUUGCUCAAAAGUGAAAUCCAAUGUCGCCAUCGGAUUCCUUGUGUUUUUCUACCCCAAAAACAUAUAUCACACUAACAUACUUGCAUGCAUAAAAAUAACACAAAACAAAAAAGAAAAUCUACUCUAAAUCCUAAAUCACUUAUAUGUCAAAUUACUGCCAGAUUUGACAUAUGCNUUAGUGCAUGACAGGUGGGCCCUAUGGCCCACCAUUAGUGCCCCCUUAGUGCAUGACAGGUGGGCCCUGUGGCCCACCAUUAGUGCCCCCUUAGUGCAUGACAGGUGGGCCAUGUGGCCCACCAUUAGUCGCACACCUACAACACAACAAUACAUAGAGAAAUUAAAGGGGGGUAGGGGCCUCGAACCCACCACCUCACGGCUACACCACACAACAGCUACCACUGGGCUACGCAU
RNAcentral lists this long non-coding RNA (452 nucleotides) under Hordeum vulgare. RNAcentral's name for it is "long non-coding RNA (HVUL_LNC016257)". Lineage: Eukaryota; Viridiplantae; Streptophyta; Magnoliopsida; Poales; Poaceae. The record is from RNAcentral.